AGAAUCAACGCUGGCGGCGUGCCUAACACAUGCAAGUCGAACGCGAGAGGGGCUUCGGCCCUGAUUGAGUGGCAAACGGGUGAGUAACGCGUGGGUGACCUACCUUCGAGUGGGGAUAACGUUCCGAAAGGACGCUAAUACCGCAUAACAUCCCGUCUUGGACAGAUGGAGAUCAAAGCCGGGGAUCGUAAGACCUGGCGCUUGAGGACGGGCCCGCGUCCGAUUAGCUAGGUUGGUGGGUAAUGGCUCACCGAAGGCGACGAUCGGUACGCCGG
RNAcentral lists this ribosomal RNA (275 nucleotides) under uncultured soil bacterium. RNAcentral's name for it is "partial 16S ribosomal RNA". It matches the Rfam family "Bacterial small subunit ribosomal RNA", at positions 26 to 290 of the family's 1533-position model. The record is from RNAcentral.